AGAAUUUUCAGGAGGACAAGUUGCUUUUUAACUGCUUGAGGGAGCUAAAGAAACAACUGCAGAGGCUGCUUUUUAGGUAGAUGAGCAGUGUAGGAAAAAUAUAGAAAAAAAGAUGAUGUAGGUUGUUUGCAUAUUGCUCUGAAAUAAAACCUUGUUAUUAUGGCUUGCUUUAUUUCACUUGUAGCUGAAAGUAGAUUAUGGCUUCCUGUAGAUGGCAGAAUUUCAGCGUAGAGUCUGAUGGCAAGGUGAAUGAAAACAGCAUUUUGCAGGGCGCAACCAAAUUCUGGUAAAAAUUCAGGCUCUGAAAGAGUGCAAAAAUGCUUCUACAUGACUGAGAUGAUGAUAAGGCUGCCUGUCAUCUGACCAAAUUCACUUGAAGCUAUGAGGUAUCACAGUAGCACCAGUAGCACAGUCCAUUCAGGAGGAGCAGGAAACCCAUAACUGAGAUGACAUUGAGGUGGCAUCCUUAGAAAUCUGAUAACCCUACAGGAGCUCAUGAGAGGAGGAAAAUCCUGCUGGUCUGGAUAGCAGCUGGAGGGAGAAGGAAACUGGCUCGAGUAUGGCAUGGCAGCAAUGUUGUGUAACAUCUGUACAGCUCAUAGUGGGGAGGUUGAGAGCUCCAUGCCUUUCUGUGGCCUCCUGCAAGCUUCCCUGAAGACAGAAGUUUGUGGCUUACUGCAGACCAUAACAUAGAACUGAACUAACCUUGCUUGGAAGCAAGAGAUCAGUGCACAGCAAUGAGAUGGACUGAACAAA
Molecule: long non-coding RNA, 756 nt
Organism: Lagopus leucura (white-tailed ptarmigan)
Lineage: Eukaryota; Metazoa; Chordata; Aves; Galliformes; Phasianidae
Exons: 4
Source: RefSeq, a predicted model, not a curated record